RNAcentral lists this ribosomal RNA (512 nucleotides) under uncultured bacterium. RNAcentral describes it as "partial 16S ribosomal RNA". It matches the Rfam family "Bacterial small subunit ribosomal RNA", at positions 28 to 523 of the family's 1533-position model. The record is from RNAcentral.
GACGAACGCUGGCGGCGUGCCUAAUACAUGCAAGUCGAGCGGAACUGGGGGAGCUUGCUCCUUCCAGUUUAGCGGCGGACGGGUGAGUAACACGUGGGCAACCUGCCCUGCAGAUCGGGAUAACUCCGGGAAACCGGUGCUAAUACCGAAUAGUUUGAGGCCUCUCCUGAGGCUUCACGGAAAGACGGUUUCGGCUGUCACUGCAGGAUGGGCCCGCGGCGCAUUAGCUAGUUGGUGGGGUAACGGCCCACCAAGGCCACGAUGCGUAGCCGACCUGAGAGGGUGACCGGCCACCCUGGGACUAAGACACGGCCCAGACUCCUACGGGAGGCAGCAGUAGGGAAUCUUCCGCAAUGGACGCAGGUCUGACGGAGCAUCGCCGCGUGAGUGACGAAGGUUUUCGGAUCGUAAAACUCUGUUGUGAGGGAAGAACACGUACCAACUAACUAUUGGUACCUUGACGGUACCUCACCAGAAAGCCACGGCUAACUACGUGCCAGCCGCCGCCGUAA